Molecule: long non-coding RNA, 3439 nt
Organism: Homo sapiens (human)
Lineage: Eukaryota; Metazoa; Chordata; Mammalia; Primates; Hominidae
Exons: 8
Source: RefSeq, a predicted model, not a curated record
CGUAACACGUCAGAAAACGUCAUAGACACCGCCCACUCGGCGAACUGUCUCCGAGCGGAGCCGGGCUGGAUUGGAUUGGACCCCUGGGCGGGAAAGGACGGACGGGUUAAGUAGCCAAUCACCAAUUGCGCUCCAGCCAGAGGGGCGAUGUUCUUGGGGAGCCUGGGGAUCUGGAAGAAGUUCAGUGUGAGGACGAGUGUUAGGAAAUAAGGCUGAAGACAGAGGCAACCCUGGAGGAUCUUCUAACCCAUGUCAAGCAGUUGAGAAUUUAUGGAGUGAAAUAGCAAGCCAUUGAAGAGUUUCAAGCUUUCAUCCAGCUUUUAAGGGAAACUAAUAUCUCAUGAAAUUGUGAGGGCCUGGAAUCUUCAAAGAGCCAAGGAUUCUGCCAGACUGAGCAAUAGACUUGAUGAGCAUUCUCCACUUAAGAUCUGAACUAUGAGAAGUCGAAUCAAAGCAGUUCUUUUGUAAUUCCAAACAGCCAUUUAGACAUAUGAAGAAAUGAAAGUAAAGCAGUUCUAAAGACAAGGAAGAGGGUCAAUGAAAGAUCUACUUAAUCAGAAUCCUGACUGAAUUGACUCUGGGGAUCUGCCUUUUUACCAAGUUGCACAGAGGACCCUUGUGUAAAGUUUGAAAACAGUGUGAUAAGGCCAUCAUGAAGAUUAAAUGAGCCAUAUUCUAUGAAGCACCUGAAAUGUGCUCCCAAUGCAAUCACAAAGAUCUUUAAAAGUGGAAGAAGGUGGGAGAGGUCAGAGUGAUACGAAGAGAACUCAGUCUACCACUGCUGGCUUUGAAGAUGGAAGAAUGGGGCUAUGAGCCCUGGAUUGCGGGCAGCCUGCAGAAGCUGGGGCAGAGAUUCCACACAGGCACCUCUAGAAAAUAAUGCAGCCAGCCAAUCCUUAGACUUUAUCCCAGUGAGAGUCAAGUUGGACUUCUGACCUACAAAAGAGUAAAUAUCUAAAUUAUCUGUGGCAACAACUUGGUGGGGUCAACUCGAAUGUUUUUGUCGGCUGUUCUUGAAGACUUCUGGGUCUCUACAACCACAUUCUUUGGCUGGUGCCAGUGUUUAAGCACUCUGAAACUGCAUAGCAGCAUGUUUGAAGGUGGCCUGUCAAAUUUGGGAAACUGACGGUGUGACUGAGCUAGUCACAGGGGUCUUCACAGAAAAGGCAGUCGGGGUCCUGGUCAACUGGAGAUUCCAUCUGAAUGAUGAGAAGAAUACACCUUGGCAGCUGCUGGAUCAAGGCAAAUGAGAGACCCAUGGAGCUCACUAAAUCCAACUCUACAGCUUGGAGCUAAGCCUAACUUAGCCAAGUCUAAACCAGUUUGACCUCAGCCAAUUCACAGAUGUUUGAGCCAGAAGUAAGGUGCUUGUUGCUGGAAGCCAGUUAAAUUUUGAGAUCUUUUUGAAAAAUAUAUUGUCAUUGCAGACAUAGAUGCACAUAGUUUUCCACACUGUGGGAAGUCAAAUUAAGCAUGCUUAGACUUUUAAAGCAGAAGCCCAUUAUUAGUGGGGUGGCAAAAAUGUUACAAGUGACAUAGUCCUCCAAUUUCCUUCUUCUAGCCCUCUGCCUAAGAACUAGUGUACUUCAUUUUGAAGUGGAGCCCUAACGGGAGUGUUCAUCUUCUGUCAACAGGGUUAAGCCUCUUGACGCUUACUGGGCACUCACAGUUGUUAGUUCCCUGGAAGACAUGAAAGAGCUUGAUUGGUUCUGUAGUCGUCAGUCAAUAACCAACUGUAACAUACCUACACUUCCAACAAAAUCUUGAUUUGGGAAAUUGAGUGUCUGCUUAUAGUUAAUCCUCUAUUUUUUGACACCUAGUAGGAAAAACAUUUUCAAAAGAGCCAUGACCUGACUCAGUUAAUAUGCAAGGAAAAAUAAGCAGUUCCAAACUUGUCAGUUUAUCCAUCAUCCCUUAUCCAAAAUCCUUCAACUCUCUUGGAAUUAUUUUGUUCUUCAUACUUGCCCAACAAAUAUCUUACUCUUGUCUUGGACUUUAUUUUAUAGUUAUCUCACAUAAGCUCCUUGUGGCUAAGGGCACAUAUUUGGAAUCAGACUACCCUAGUUCAACUCUUGGGUCUACCAUUUAUUAGCUUGUAUUACUUUGGGAAAGAUAAUUAAAUUCUCCAGAUCUAAUUUCCCCCAUUAUAAGAUAAUAAUAGUUAUUACCUGCUAGGAUUGUCUUGAGAAGUAAAUUAGAUAAUUCAUAAGAACCAUUUAACACAGUGCCAGCCACAUAAUGAAGGCAUAGUAAGGGAAAGUUAUUAUGCUGUUGAUAAUACUUGUCUAGGCAGGGGUCUCAUAUUUUUCCCUGUAUCCAUUACUGUACAAUUCAUCUGUCCCAUGACAUUCUAAGAUUGUUUUAGAGUGAGUUGCUUCAGAGUUGAAUAAUUCUAAUAAUAUAUUCUCAUGUUUGGAAACAACUUGGAAUUCCAUUUAGUGUAGACAUCAACAAUGAAAUCGCUAGAGGAUGAGUAAUUUCUACAAUUUUUAUUCAUUAUAGAGAGACCAAUGGGUAUAAUGGUGAAAAGAACUGAGUAGAAGGUCAGGAGGUCAAAGAGACUGAGUUUAAACCCUCACUCUGCUGAGUACUGUUAAUAAUGGUAUGAUCUUAAGAGAACUAAUCUUUAGUUUUUCCCACCUUAAAAACAGAGUUGUCAUGAGUAUUUAAUAAUAGAGGGUAGUAUGUAAACUUCCUGGCAUAUAGCAACUGCUCAACAAAUAGAAGUUAUAGUUUUUUCUUAACUUGCCAAAGAGCCAAGGGAAAAAUGAAGAUUUUGUAGCCAAAGCCAUUUAUCUUUCUCUGUUAUGUGCCUAUCUGUUCCAGAAACAGAAUCAAUUCCUUGAACCUCAUCAAAGGAAGGAUUUGAACAUUUAAAAAAAAAUCAAUCUCUUUGGGUUUGUUAUUGCUUGUUUCCCAUACCUCAGAGACACAAAUACAAACCUUUAUAAUGUCAUCAGGAAGAAGAGGAGUCAAACACUCCUUAACUCAAUAAUUGCAAUGUUAUUAUUUUGCAAGGAAUAGAGUCAAAAUUCCAUUCACAUGAGGACUGUAACUUCUUCAUUACUCCUUGAGGCACGAUGUCCUUGAUUUUAAGUAGCUCAUGUAGAAACUAGUUGUAAGUCUUUAGCGGAGAGACUGUACUGGAAUUAUAGGAUCUACUUAGGGGUUUGAGCUUCCCCACCCACUUAGAGUGACAGUUCACACCUAUAAAAACACAAAAGUCCGGGGGUUUAUUAAACAUUAGGAGAUCCAAAGAGCCAAGACUUCUACCUGUAAAAGUGGUGCUUCCUAAGCAGAAGAAAUGGAAUUUCUCAGAGAAUACAGCUUGGCUUGACCAAUGGACUGUACAAGGAAGAUUAGGAGGUAAUUACUGGGGUAAAAGAGAAAUGGUUGCAUCUUUCUGGAACACUCUAAUAAAACUGAAAGUUUUUCCUGA